This 465-nucleotide ribosomal RNA is filed under the name uncultured bacterium. RNAcentral describes it as "partial 16S ribosomal RNA". It matches the Rfam family "Bacterial small subunit ribosomal RNA", at positions 28 to 507 of the family's 1533-position model. The record is from RNAcentral.
GACGAACGCUGGCGGCGUGCUUAACACAUGCAAGUCGAGCGGUAAGGCCCCUUCGGGGGUACACGAGCGGCGAACGGGUGAGUAACACGUGAGCAAUCUGCCCAUCACAUCGGGAUAACUCCGGGAAACCGAAGCUAAUACCGAAUACGACCACCUCCGGCAUCGGGUGGUGGUGGAAAGUUCCGGCGGUGAUGGAUGAGCUCGCGGCCUAUCAGCUUGUUGGUGGGGUAACGGGCCACCAAGGCUUCGACGGGUAGCCGGCCUGAGAGGGUGACCGGCCACACUGGGACUGAGACACGGCCCAGACUCCUACGGGAGGCAGCGGUGGGGAAUAUUGGACAAUGGGCGAAAGCCUGAUCCAGCAACGCCGCGUGAGGGAUGACGGCCUUCGGGUUGUAAACCUCUUUCAGCAGGGACGAAGCGCAAGUGACGGUACCUGCAGAAGAAGCACCGGCCAACUACGUG